RNAcentral lists this ribosomal RNA (432 nucleotides) under uncultured bacterium. Its description in RNAcentral is "partial 16S ribosomal RNA". It matches the Rfam family "Bacterial small subunit ribosomal RNA", at positions 29 to 506 of the family's 1533-position model. The record is from RNAcentral.
AACGAACGCUGGCGGCAUGCCUAACACAUGCAAGUCGAACGAGACCUUCGGGUUUGGUGGCGCACGGGUGCGUAACGCGGGGGGACAUGCCCUUAGAUCCGGAAUAACUCCCGGAAAGGGGUGCUAAUACCGGAUAAUGUCUUCGGACCAAGGACUUAUAGCCUUUGGGUGGGCCUGAGUUCGAUUAGCUUGUUGGUAGGGUAAAAGCCUACAAAGGCGGCGAACGAUAGCUGGUCUGAGAGGAUGAUCAGCCACACUGGGACGGGGACACGUCCCAGACUCCGACGGGAGGGAGCAGUGGGGAAUAUUGGACAAUGGGCGAAAGCCUGAUCCAGCAAUGCCGCGUGAGUGAUGAAGGCGUGAGGGUUGUAAAGCUCUUUUACCCGGGAUGAUAAUGACAGUACCGGAAAAAAAAGCUCCGGCUAACUCCGU